AAAUAAAGUGUCCAAGGAUGGGAAUCGAACCCAUAGUGUUCCGUUUACUGGGCAGAUGCCAUGUCCACUAGGCAUACUUCAUC
RNAcentral lists this transfer RNA (83 nucleotides) under Cordylochernes scorpioides. RNAcentral describes it as "tRNA-Thr". Lineage: Eukaryota; Metazoa; Arthropoda; Arachnida; Pseudoscorpiones; Chernetidae. The record is from RNAcentral.